UACGUAGGGUGAGAGCGUUAAUCGGAAUUACUGGGCGUAAAGCGUGCGCAGGCGGCGCGUUAAGACAGGUGUGAAAGCCCCGAGCUUAACUUGGGAAUUGCGCUUGUGACUGGCGUGCUGGAGUGUGGCAGAGGGAGGUGGAAUUCCACGUGUAGCAGUGAAAUGCGUAGAGAUGUGGAGGAACACCGAUGGCGAAGGCAGCCUCCUGGGCCAGCACUGACGCUCAUGCACGAAAGCGUGGGGAGCAAACAGG
This 253-nucleotide ribosomal RNA is filed under the name uncultured bacterium. RNAcentral describes it as "partial 16S ribosomal RNA". It matches the Rfam family "Bacterial small subunit ribosomal RNA", at positions 524 to 776 of the family's 1533-position model. The record is from RNAcentral.